AACAACUCACCUGCCGAAUGAAUUAGCCCUGAAAAUGGAUGGCGCUCAAGCGGGUGGCCGACACUAUGCCAUUUGAGCAAAAAUUGUCUCAAAUGAGUAGGGGGAACGUGGCGGUUGCUGAGAAGCGUUAUGCGUAAGCAUGCGUGGAGCGGCCCCUAAUGCAGAUCUUGGUGGUAGUAGCAAAUAUUCAAAUGAAAUCCUUGAAGGGUGAUGUGGGGAAGGGUUCCACGUGAACAUUGAUUGUCCGUGGGUUAGUCGGUCCUGAGCCGCUUGGUGAUUGCAAGCCAUCGGCGAAAGGGAAUCAGGUUAAUAUUCCUGAACUUGGCAGUGGAUGCGGUGACGCACGUCGGGAUGGUGAAGUCGUAGGUCGCACCGGGCAGAGAUUUCUUUUCUGUUUAACAAUUACAGCUCACUCUGUGGAAUUCGYUUGUCGAGAGAAACAGGUGGGUAAUGUAAAAGCGCCGGAAUUUUUCUGGCGUCCGGUUUGCACCUGCGUCCCAUGAAAAGCCAUUCGCUGGCACAAAAAACCUUGUUUUUUGUGUGUAAAAAUCCACUCCAAACCGUACCUAUAACCGCAUCAGGUCCCCAAGGUGAACAGCCUCUGCUAAAUAUGCUUAUU
This 619-nucleotide ribosomal RNA is filed under the name Leveillea jungermannioides. Its description in RNAcentral is "eukaryotic LSU rRNA". It matches the Rfam family "Eukaryotic large subunit ribosomal RNA", at positions 1284 to 1901 of the family's 3401-position model. Lineage: Eukaryota; Rhodophyta; Florideophyceae; Ceramiales; Rhodomelaceae. The record is from RNAcentral.